Long non-coding RNA from Entelurus aequoreus (snake pipefish), 2252 nucleotides. RefSeq lists it as uncharacterized. The transcript is spliced from 16 exons. NCBI's taxonomy places the organism in Eukaryota, Metazoa, Chordata, Actinopteri, Syngnathiformes, Syngnathidae. The record is from RefSeq and is a predicted model, not a curated record.
GACCGAGGCGCCUGAGCUGAAGCCCAUCAAGGUCGUAUCACCUUGGUACAUGGUUGGUGUGGACCUCUUUGGACCUGUGAAAAAGUCGUCUUAAGGGGAACAGAUAUUGUCUCACUUUGACCGAUUAUUUCACCAAGUGGGUUGAAGCAAGAACAUUCCCAAAAAAGACAGCAGCCAAUGUGAAGGAGGCCUUGAGGGACAUUUUCUUUACUCAUGGUUUGCCUGAAGUUAUCCUCACUGACCAGGGCACUGAAUUCAAGAAAGAGGCUGAGGAGGUAGCUUUCAAGGAGUUGGGCAUUGAACAUGGGGUUUGGUCAGCAUACCACCCCCAGACCAAUGGGCUUGUUGAGAGGACGAACCAAACCCUUAAAGUGUCUAUUGGGAAGACCAUCAAGGGCCAACAGGAGAAGUGGGAGGACAAGCUCAGGGAGAUAGUGUAUGCCCAUAACACCUGUGUACAGGCAUCGACCAGGUUACAACUGAGUGUCCUGAGGUGAUGGCAGCUCCUGAGCAGGCGGAUUCUCUGGAGGCCUUUGUGCAGCUCCGAGUUGGCCAGGAUGAGGACGUUUUUGGAAAGGUGAUCAACAAUGUGGAGAGGCAGAAAUUGUCAUACCGGCAGAGGAUGAAGAAGGGGGUGAAGCGCUUCAUCAUCCAACCUGGAAUGGAGGUCCUCAAGAAGGAUGCCAGGAAGAAAGGGAGACCUGGGCAAACCAUGGACCCAAACUGGAGCCAGACCAUCUACAGAGUUAUGGAGGUUCUUCCAAACAAUAUGGUUAGGCUGGAGACCCUGGAUGGAAAGCCCAAGCAUAUGAUGACCUGAAACCUCUGCGCCCGAGUAUAUCAAACUGAAUGCUGUUUACAGGCAAUUUUUGUUCAGAGAUCUUGAUAUCCCUCCCCUGUAUCAUAAUAUGCCUUCUCUCUCAUUUAGGGACUCACCCUGGCUGGCCAAAGGAUUCCCCUUCAGCCCCUGUGCUUCCAGGAGAUGCUGAAAUGCUGACUUCAUCAUCGGAGGAGGAAACUGAGACCAUACAUAUGCUGGCCCCACAUCACCCUGGAAAAAGGAGCUGCACCCCGACCAGAAACAACUGCUCGAGUAUGUUUUGGGCCUGCGAUCGUCCAGCUAUGGAACUGAUCGUUAAAGAGGGAGGGGUGUGUUUAACCCAAAAAGAGUUUUGGUCUCUAGGGUUGUCCAGAGACAUGGACUCCACGAUGGGAAAUGCUUGCCUCCAGCUGGUUCAGGAAGCUGCUCAGAGACAUUGUUCCAGGGCAAAGAUGUCUUCAUUGCCAACAUGUAUAUUGUACCAACGUGGAAGCACAAAGACGUCGAUCCAAUGUCAAGCCUUCCAAGGGAUGCACAUCUAAAGGAGGCACUCCUCUUCCCAGCGUGGAGCAAGCACAACAUUACCUUCUCUGUGUAAGUGUUGAAAAGAAAAAUACUGGAGAUAUCUUAUAAUUCUUGUGCAAUGACAUUAUUUAUGCCUCUUUCUGUAUUGACCAUUGUAGGUGUUGAGGCCGGCAAAGAGAGAAAUUCUCUUGCUGGACUCUGUUUGCCCUUUGGCCAUCUGGUUUUGGUGAUGAGGUGUACAGAGCCAUCUUUAGGUCCCUUUAUAAUAAUCCUGGCCACAGUUCCAUUUUGGCCACUUUUUGUUCCAGCCAUGUUCUGGUUUUGGCUAUGGUUCUGUUCUAGUCAUCUUUCCCUUCCCCGCUAUGCUCAUGUUUUAGACAUGUUCUUCUUUCGGCUAUGUUCUCAUUCUAGCCAUGUUCCAGUGGUGUGCUACAGGGGUCCCCAACCACAGAGUCAUGGACCAGUACUGGUGAAACGUGAUUUUGUUCAUGCUUUGGCAGUGUUCUACUAGAAUUUUCACUUGUUUAUUUUCAAUUUGUCUUCAUGUUUUAAUAUGCCAAGUGGCUUAUUGCAUUUUAUUUGAUUCACAUUUGGCUUUUUUACUGCAGGAGCAUUGCGCAGCACAACGUCCCAGGAAGCUGGAGUGAGCUCACUGGAAAAGACAUGCAGGAGAUCCCACGCCAGACCUCGGGGAAUGACUGUGGUGUUUUCAUGCUCAUGUACUCCCUCUGGCUCUGUACGGACACUACUUUUCACUACAGUGUGCUGGACAUGCAGUUGGUGGUGUGUCCUUCUAAUGGAGCGCUUUGGCAUUGAAGGGUGCAGCUCGCGCAAUGUUUGGAACAAAACAUUUGUAAACAAUAAAAAAUCAUUUUACAUUGCAGUUUUUUGCCUCAUUUUAAAGUCU